This 426-nucleotide ribosomal RNA is filed under the name uncultured bacterium. Its description in RNAcentral is "partial 16S ribosomal RNA". It matches the Rfam family "Bacterial small subunit ribosomal RNA", at positions 354 to 796 of the family's 1533-position model. The record is from RNAcentral.
GUGAGGAAUUUUCCGCAAUGGGCGAAAGCCUGACGGAGCAAUGCCGCGUGAAGGAUGAAGGCCUAUGGGUUGUAAACUUCUUUUCUCAGAAAAGAAUUAUGACGGUAUCUGAGGAAUAAGCAUCGGCUAACUCUGUGCCAGCAGCCGCGGUAAGACAGAGGAUGCAAGCGUUAUCCGGAAUGAUUGGGCGUAAAGCGUCUGUAGGUUGUUUAAAAAGUAUUCUGUCAAAGAUUAGGGCUUAAACCUAGAUAGGCAGAAUAAACUUUUAAGAUAGAGUUUGGUAGAGGCAGAGGGAAUUCCAGGUGGAGCAGUGAAAUGCGUAGAUAUCGGGAGGAACACCAAAGGCGAAGGCACUCUGCUGGGCCAAUACUAACACUGAGAGACGAAAGCGAGGGGAGCAAAUGGGAUUAGAAACCCGGGUAGUCC